RNAcentral lists this transfer RNA (71 nucleotides) under Nakamurella flavida. RNAcentral's name for it is "Humicoccus flavidus tRNA". It matches the Rfam family "tRNA". From Rfam's summary of the family: Transfer RNA (tRNA) molecules are approximately 80 nucleotides in length. Their secondary structure includes four short double-helical elements and three loops (D, anti-codon, and T loops). Further hydrogen bonds mediate the characteristic L-shaped molecular structure. tRNAs have two regions of fundamental functional importance: the anti-codon, which is responsible for specific mRNA codon recognition, and the 3' end, to which the tRNAs corresponding amino acid is attached (by aminoacyl-tRNA synthetases). tRNAs cope with the degeneracy of the genetic code in two manners: having more than one tRNA (with a specific anti-codon) for a particular amino acid; and 'wobble' base-pairing, i.e. permitting non-standard base-pairing at the 3rd anti-codon position. The record is from Rfam by way of RNAcentral. RNAcentral also lists the same sequence under 4 other names. Lineage: Bacteria; Bacillati; Actinomycetota; Actinomycetes; Nakamurellales; Nakamurellaceae.
GCGGGCGUAGUUCAGUGGCAGAACUUCAGCUUCCCAAGCUGAUAGCGCGAGUUCGAUUCUCGUCGCCCGCU